RNAcentral lists this ribosomal RNA (468 nucleotides) under uncultured bacterium. RNAcentral's name for it is "partial 16S ribosomal RNA". It matches the Rfam family "Bacterial small subunit ribosomal RNA", at positions 28 to 507 of the family's 1533-position model. The record is from RNAcentral.
GACGAACGCUGGCGGCGUGCUUAACACAUGCAAGUCGAACGGAAAGGCCCUGCUUUUGUGGGGUGCUCGAGUGGCGAACGGGUGAGUAACACGUGAGUAACCUGUCCUUGACUUUGGGAUAACUUCAGGAAACUGGGGCUAAUACCGGAUAGGAUCUCCUGCUGCAUGGUGGGGGUUGGAAAGUUUCGGCGGUUGGGGAUGGACUCGCGGCUUAUCAGCUUGUUGGUGGGGUAGUGGCUUACCAAGGCUUUGACGGGUAGCCGGCCUGAGAGGGUGACCGGCCACAUUAGGACUGAGAUACGGCCCAGACUCCUACGGGAGGCAGCGGUGGAGAAUAUUGCACAAUGGGCGGAAGCCAGAUGCAGCAACGCCGCGUGCGGGAUGACGGCCUUCGGGUUGUAAACCGCUUUCGCCUGUGACGAAGCGUGAGUGACGGUAAUGGGUAAAGAAGCACCGGCUAACUACGUG